Oncorhynchus keta (chum salmon) is the source of this 2941-nucleotide long non-coding RNA. RefSeq lists it as uncharacterized. The record is from RefSeq and is a predicted model, not a curated record. NCBI's taxonomy places the organism in Eukaryota, Metazoa, Chordata, Actinopteri, Salmoniformes, Salmonidae. The transcript has 3 exons.
CACAGAAAACCAAGAACCAUUAAAACACAGACGAGCACAGAGUCAGUCAUUCAAACACAAGACGAGUGCAGAGGAAGAAGGGAGUAAAAUAUAUAAUUCUAAACUAGGUGUUUCGAGCACUGAAUGCUGAUUGGCUAACAACUGUGGUAUAUCCGACUAUAUACUACGGGUAUGACAAAACAUUUAUUUUUACUGCUAUAAUUACAUUGGUAACCAGUUUAUAACAGCAAUAAGGCACCUCAGUGGAUUGUGGUAUAUGGCCAAUAUACCACGGCUAAGGGCUGUAUCCAAGCACUCUGUGUUGCAUCGUGUGUAAGAACAGCCCUUAGCCUGUUGUAAAUUGGCCAUAUAUCACACCCCAUCGUGCCUUAUUGCUGAAAUAAACACAGUCAGUAGAACAGGUGCAUGGAUAAUGAACUCGUAGAACAGGUGCAUGGAUACUGAACUAGUAGAACAGGUGCAUGGAUACUGAACUAGUAGAACAGGUGCAUGGAUACUGAACUAGUAGAACAGGUGCAUGGAUAAUGAACUAGUAGAACAGGUGCAUGGAUACUGAACUAGUAGAACAGGUGCAUAGAUACUGAACUAGUAGAACAGGUGCAUGGAUACUGAACUAGUAGAACAGGUGCAUGGAUACUGAACUAGUAGAACAGGUGCAUGGAUAAUGAACUAGUAGAACAGGUGCAUGGAUACUGAACUAGUAGAACAGGUGCAUAGAUACUGAACUAGUAGAACAGGUGCAUGGAUACUGAACUAGUAGAACAGGUGCAUGGAUACUGAACUAGUAGAACAGGUGCAUGGAUACUGAACUAGUAGAACAGGUGCAUGGAUACUGAACUAGUAGAACAGGUGCAUGGAUACUGAACUAGUAGAACAGGUGCAUGGAUACUGAACUAGUAGAACAGGUGCAUGGAUACUGAACUAGUAGAACAGGUGCAUGGAUACUGAACUAGUAGAACAGGUGCAUGGAUACUGAACUAGUAGAACAGGUGCAUGGAUACUGAACUAGUAGAACAGGUGCAUGGAUACUGAACUAGUAGAACAGGUGCAUGGAUACUGAACUAGUAGAACAGGUGCAUGGAUACUGAACUAGUAGAACAGGUGCAUGGAUACUGAACUAGUAGAACAGGUGCAUGGAUACUGAACUAGUAUAACAGGUGCAUGGAUAAUGAACUAGUAGAACAGGUGCAUGGAUACUGAACUAGUAGAACAGGUGCAUGGAUAAUGAACUAGUAGAACAGGUGCAUGGAUAAUGAACUAGUAGAACAGGUGCAUGGAUACUGAACUAGUAGAAAAGGUGCAUGGUUAAUGACCUAGAAGGGAGAAUGGGGUAGUACUGAACGCAGGGCUAUACCCUUACGCAUGUGGGAAUUUUAGUAGAGUACUCUAAAGUAAGAAACAGACACCCUGUCAUCGCAAAGACAAAACGACCCUGUCGACAACUGUCUUCCUGUCAGCUCUCUCUCUCUAUCUCUCUCCCCCUCUCUCCCUCUUUGUGGUUUGUGUCUGUGGAACUCAGUAUGUAGUUCAGUGGUUUCUACAGAAGCUGUGUCGUGACAAAUUGAGCCUUUGGUGGUGUAACUGCUUUUGGGGGGGGACAUUUAGUUGUGCCCAUCUGGUGAUCAUCUGCAUCAAGGACAAAUUCAGUAUUGAGUCCACACACUGCUCAGGAGCAACGUUGUCUCAGAAUAAUCACUCACCACUUCCACUUCAGUUCUCAUUCACCAACAGGUGUUACUGUCUCUCAUCUGUCUCUCUGUCUUUCUGGUAACUUUGAAAUUAACAAAGAUUUCAUGUUCUACACAGAGCAAAAAUAGAUGUGUAGAAACGUAGCCACUCAAUAACCCACACGAACAGAUAGCACAGAGCAAUAGAGCUCCUGGAACCUUCUCUCUCUGCUGACCAGGGGAAGGACACUUUUCAUACCAGGGCAGAGCGCCUCUGUAUCACAGGAGGUUGGUGAUGGGAGGACGGCUCAUAAUAAUGGAUGGAAUGGAAUGAAUGGAAUGGUAUAAAACACUUGGAAACCAUGGAAACUGUGGAUUUGAUGUGUUUGAUACCAUUCCAUUCAGUAGUGGUGUGGGGUAAAAUCACUGGGGAAGCUAAGCCAGAAAAAAGGUGUGAGGGAAAAUUGUAUUGUCUGAAGAGAUAGCCUUGAAUUGUACACAGCAUCUCCUCUCACUUUAUCUUGGUUCAUGCCAUUAUAAUCAUUGGCCAGUAAGGAGAAUUAAGUAAAACCACAAGUCCAUAAUUGAUAAUUUAGGAAAGGGACAAUUUUAGGUAGCUGGCUAGCUACUGGAGGACAACAACACAACACGAGUUUCUGUUAGUGACGUAUGCUCUUGAUGCGAUGUGAUUGGAGUGAAGACAAACUGGAUUCUCUUGCCCUCAAUGAUACGGGCGGCAACGAUGUCAUACUAUUUUAGACCAGACAGCAUCAGAUAGAUGGGCUACACAUACAGAGACAGAGGGGCGCUGUUUUGCUCGCUCGGAUGCUUUCUCUGGUGAGAUACAUUCAGCCUCUUGUGAAUUGAAAUACUUUUUUGGAGUAGCCUGGCUUCCCUUGGCAUCCAUGAACACACACCACUGAUUCUAUCUAUUCCGUACCAGUCAUUACUAUGAGCCCGUCCUCCCAAAUUAAGGUGCCUCCAGCCACCCGUGCUCUGGGUAGGAAACUAGGUGAAGGAGGUGACGGUGGGAGAGUAAAUAUCUAGCGCGUUGGACAGAAAAUAAUCCACUGUAGUACAGGAAUCUUACUAUCUGGCCACACUAAAAAGUACAGAAGUCAAAACUUCCUAACCAAACAGACACUUUAACAAACUUGCCCUAACCUUUCCCUAACCUUAACCUUGACACCAAAUUCAGGUCAAACACCUCCGUUUUGAUGGUAUUGCCAUUUCUGUCCAUUCCACCAUGGCUAGUACGUGACUCCCAUGGUACA